Long non-coding RNA from Panicum virgatum (switchgrass), 673 nucleotides. RefSeq lists it as uncharacterized. The record is from RefSeq and is a predicted model, not a curated record. The transcript is spliced from 2 exons. NCBI's taxonomy places the organism in Eukaryota, Viridiplantae, Streptophyta, Magnoliopsida, Poales, Poaceae.
CGCAUCUCGGCUUCCCCCUAGCAUCUGCAGCGGCUCGGCUUCAGGCUUCCACGCGGCAGCCCUCCUCGCUCGGCUCGACCUUGUCGUCGUCGAACACAUUAAGCGGUGGAGGUAUGCGCCAGUCUGCGUGCUGACGGCUUCCGGCGUGAGUGCGGUGUGGUUCUUGGGGUGGCCGCAGUUGAGCGCGGGCGACAUGGUGCGGGGCGGGAAGAAGGCGCGGUGGAGGGGAGGCGGCCGCGAGCUACGCGGGGCCGGGCGACGGGGCGAGGAGGAGGCGCGGCGGAGGGCAGGUGGCCGCGGGUGCCAUGGGGCCGAGCCGUGCGGGCUACAGAGAGGGCAGCUGGUCAGGGAGGCAGCAGCGGCCGCGCCUGGCCGCCGGCGGGGAUGAUCACUCCAUGGAGGUUGAAGCAGGCCAACGAUUGCAUCAGUGGUUCUGCAGUGGGUACAUCAGACUGAAGGGGAGGCUGCAAAGUUUAUCUUUUGAAGUUGGGGUGUGUUUAGAUCCAAAAUUUUGGCCAAAACUUUACAGCCCUAAAGUUUGGGGUAAAACUUUACAACUUUUUGCCUUUAUAGGUGUUUAGUUGCCUGUAAAAUUUUGGAGAACUGAUGUACAGUACAUGCACCAUAAAUGCAGGCCGCCCUUGGUUGCAUGCUGCAUGCGCCGCUGCUGUUA